UCACCUAUUUUUACUGUUUGAGUUAGGGAGUGUUCACAGGACUCGUUUUGCCAGAAGAGCUGAAAUGCUUGCAGAAAGGGAAAAGGGAAAGAGAUACAAAUUCAGAGCUGCAAAAUAGCAGCUGAACAUGAUAAUAUCCUCAGCUGGCAGAGGUGGCUGCACACUGAGCAUCUGUCUAUGGCCUAAAAUGACAGUUUUGUUUGAGGAUUUGUUUGUUGGUUUGUCAGAGUUUUGGUUUGUUUUGUUAUACUGCAGGAUCACUCCUAUCUGCUAAUACAAUUAAGAAAGAAACUUCAGAAAAAGAACCCUAAGUCCUAUGGUUUUUAAUUCCCUGUUGGGUUUGGGGAAGAAGCAGUUUGUGGCAAACAAGGAAGACAAACCUGGAUCCUUUGCUGCAUCCUUCCUCCUGUUUAAGAAGAUUUGUGAUUCUACAUCUAAAUCCAACAACUUUCCAAGUGGCCCUGCUCAUCUGAGAAAAGAACAGGAGGAUGAAACAUUCCUGCAAUUGUCUGUGAACUGAUACACUGGAAGUGGCCUGUGGGAAAUCUGCCACUCUGCUGUGGAUUUCUGGUCUCUGGGACGUGGUCUGCGAGGCUGACUGGAUUCAGGAUACAAUACCUUGUGGAGGAAGUGCUGUGAUUUUUUUGAGAAAAUCAUUCAGGCAUAAGGGCAGAGAAAAAAGUUGUAAAAGUUAAAGAAAGAUCCCUGAGGGACAUCAGCACUGCCAGGAUCUCUACAAGUUCAGUGUGUAGUCUCUUUUCUCAGCACAUUUGCUUUGGGCAAAACCAUAAUAGUAACUCAUCAGCUGAGGCAGGAGCUGUACUUUGGUUUUGAAUCCUGCUCUCUGCAGCUUGGUCAAGCAGGCUAAAAGGAAAAGAAAUGCAGCUAAAUUCUGAGGGAUCAGAUUCUAUCCACCUUUAACAUAUUAUGGCUGCUACUUCACAGUCCUACAGGGACCAGAUAAACAGAGCAAGGAGGAGACACAGAAUGUUCUCCUUAUUAUGGAGCAGCAGAAGAUGCUUUUUGCUCCAGCUGCUGGAAGACUUCUGCACAGGCACUGUGCUAUGUGCACAAAACAUCUGGAGUGACGGUGUGAUCAGGAUCCCCUGAGUUUUCCUACAAAUUAUCCUCCUGCAUUAAUAUCCAAGGAAGAAAAAUGACAGUAUGCAAAUAUUCAACUGCAAAAAUGCAAACAACAGAAUUUUGUUUUAUUGACUUUUUUUUUCAAGCUGGUCAUUAUGUGCAGGACUGUGUAGCAAACUGGUUCUCACUUCAUCCACAGCCCUUCAGGUCUAUUCCAUGAGGGCAGAGACUCCAGGAGGAAGGGUGAGAGAGGCUGUCUCACUGCUGGACUCACUGGCCUUCAGUGCUAUGUCACAUGAAGUGAAUCAAAUUGGUUCCAUGGGAAAGUUGUUUUUUUAAAGAAACCUGAAGUGCAACUUGUCUGUUAGACCACAAAUUCUUUAGGGAGAAAAAUGAGAAAAACCCUGCUUUUUCAGGGUUUAGUGUGUGGCAGGUGUUUCUGUGAAUAAAUGAGAGCCCCAUCAGACUGAGUGACUUGCAGGUUCCUCCUGCCCAGGUGUCAGCUGAGCUACAAUGUUGAGCUGGAGGCCUGUGUCCCCAUUACCCAUCCCCAGAGCCAGCUGCUCCCACACCUGUAAAAUCUGUGCAGAAAAAGUUCCCUCAUAGAUUUUAUCUCUGACUCAGAUGGGAUGAAUGACUCCUGACUUGCUGCUAUAAAGGAACGUACACCUGACAGGCACUGAGACUUUGAAUCAAGCAGGAUUUCCAAUACUGUGCAAUGGCUUUCUCCCAAAAAAAAGUUAAAGUUUGCACAGUUUGAAAAUAACUCCAGGAGAAGAUGGCAGCAGCUGAAGGAGUUUGGCUGGAAACUGUGCUCCCCCUUGAUCCAUCCGCACUGCGCAGCAGCUCUGUGUGCAACUCCCGGAUCGUUUGAAGGUGCUUGGGAUGGCUUCAGGCUUUUGGCUUUUUUAUGCAAGCAGAUUUUCAUGCUUUGAUAUGUUCUCUGACAUGACUUUUGAUCCAGUGAAGGUGAUGCUGACACUUUUUUCACAGUGAAUAUUUUGUGUACAGUGCUGCUGGAGCACCACAGUUGCCUGAGUUAUUUUGGAGGAACUCUUUCAUAAAGAUGCAGCCUAAUAAAUAUGAUGAAAAGUGAGAGCUCUGAUAACUGCAGUCAGGGUGUCUGCCCUGGUCCAGACCAAGGUAUUGCAGCUUGUCAGCAUGCAGGGACCAUCAAACACAAUCCAGGAGAGUCGUGGGGGGGGGGGGGCACAGCACAGACUGGUCUGGGGCUCUGUGCAGUGAGAACAGCACUUUGGAAUAUCCAGAUUAUUCCCCCCAAAAAAAGCAGAUGAUGUUUCAAGCUGUCAGAUUGGCAAGUUUUGGGAAAAGUGAAGAAACCCUGGUGGAAAGUCUGCGCUUUGCUCUUCCUGCCAAGACAUGCCCAAGGAAAAUGAAGACCACUGAAAUAGAAACACCUAAGAGAAACUUUGAGAAAAAUCAAAAUAUUGCGCUAGCCCCUCCGGGACAUUACUAUCCUUGUCACCAACAAGAUUUGGGAAUUGCAGGUAACACCAUCAAGGUCCAAGAACUGACAAAAACAUCCUUGGUGCUGAGCUACAGUUGCUCUUUAGAGACAGGAUGGCCAGUCCUGCACAAAAACUCUAUUCCAGCCUAAAAUAAAAGAUGAAAAGUUAAGAAAAUGCCUCCUAGCCCUCAAAAUAAAAACAGGACUCAGGCUAUGGGCUGUGGAGAGGGAAGAAGAGAGGUUCCUGAAUAUGUGAAAGAAGAAGGAAAUUUUAUUUAAAGCUCUGGUGACAAUAUCUGCAUUGUUCCUCCCUCCUGAGCCAGGAGGCACAAACGAUAUUGGUAAAAUGCUGUUGGAGGUGGCCUGGUCUUCUUUGCCCUGGAAGUAUCACAGCUGUUUCAGGCACUGGUACGGGGAAUACCAUGCAGCAGGCUGAAGCUCAAACAUCUGGGAUGUGGAGGCAUACAGGUGACUUUGCUUGGCAUCAGCCCUGGCUCUGCAGGACCAGCUCUGAGCCAAGAGCCAAUCUGCCAGACAAUCCCAAAGUGUCACCUAUGAAAAUCAGAAUUCAAGGUGAAUCUUUGAAAACUGUCUAUUUCUACAUGUGGAACCUGCUUUCACAAGACACUUCAAUGCCUGCAAAACCCUACACCCUCUGUGCUUCGUAUUUUUCCAGAGUGGUCCUGUGCAGCUGCACAGCAGCCAGCCCAGGCCACAGCGAACAGCACGUGCAGUGACAGGGUCACUCUGCCCCAGAUGAAUGAUCAGAGCAGGGGACUGCCAUGUUAAAUGAGAGGCAGUAUGAGACAGGCUCCUUGUAUUGCCGAGAUCCAUUUUAGUAUUGCAUCAUACUCCACAUGGCAGCCUAAAUGAGAGCAGAGGUGGUGAUUAGAGGCACUGUGUCUGUUUGGAGAAGGCUGCAUGCGUGACUGAGCAUGAAUGGCCUGAUUAUGAGUGUCUGGAGCUCCACUCAAAGGGACUGAGCGGGCAGAGCUGAGGUAGCAAUGAUUAGCUGCCACGCAAGGUAAGUUAUUGUCCCCUGGGAUGCUAAAAUAUACUGUACUUAAUAGUUCACUGGCCACACGCAUUCCGAUGGUUGAUACUGUCGCAGCCGGAAACAUUCAUUCACGUAAUUAGUUUACUUUUCCAGUUUAAGCCAAAUGGAAAAUCCUCCUGUACGGCACUCUUAAGGUGGCUGUUGGGCCAGUGUGGAUCAGCAAAGUCCUUUUGACUUUGCAAAGUUGCCUGGGUUUCCCCAGAAGGACAUGAGGUCAUUUAAUCACCUAUCUUAUCACAAUGCCUUAUCACAGACAUUAUAGGGACGCUCUGGGAUUUUCUCUGGAUAAUCUGACUCCAAGAUUUGUGACAGCAGCCAUUGAAAUCAAUGGAAAAUGAGCCUUUGUGUGACAGGGUUGUCACCUGUCCGUGAUCUUAAUUCCAGGUGUGUGACAGGGAGGACGGGAGAUGACUCAUCCCUUGUCAAAAAUCCUCUGUGUCACAGAUUUGCAGUUAUACCUUCCUCCAGAGGAACCUCAGCUACUUACCCAUAAUAAAUGAUCUUCAGGUGACUUCCUCUCCUAUCUCUGGGAGUCAUGAAUAUUUGACUUAACAAAUUAAUCUUUUCAUUUUCUUUCAUGGGAAGACAGAUACCUUUAUAUAUGGAGCGCCUGAAACAGAGGAUAAAAAAAAGACCACAAAGUAAAGAAUUUGAUUUUCAAGUAACUCUGUUCAUUACAAGGGUUAGGCCAGACCCUCAACUGUACCAGAGCAACACCAUUUCAAUCAUCAAAUGUACUUCUCUACCUCUUUCCAUCUCACUGGUCCUCCUUUGCAAACACCAACAGUGCCAGGGCUGGGAAGGAUCCACUGGGGUCCUCAACACCUGCAUAACCACAACACCAAACUUUGCAUAAUUUACCAUUUUGUGGAGAGUCAGAAGGGCCUUACUCUUCAAGCCCUCCUUACUCAGCAGGCCCAUCAAGGCCUGCUUUCUCCUAGUGACUCUGCUUCUCCGGGGCAGCACUUGGAUUUGGGUUAGGUGCUCAGGGGCAUGGCUUUGGGGGCAGAGGACCCUGAUAUGCAGAUUUGGUGUGAAUAUCGUGCUCCGUCACCUACAUUGCAAGGGAGUGUAACAGAAGUUGGGAUGGUGCCAGCAUUUUGUGCUGUGUUAUUCUGUCUGUUUGAGUCCUUUUUGUUAAGCCUUCAGUGGAAAGGCUGGGUUCUGGAAAGGGCUGCUUGGAUGCUCAGAGUCCUCCUUGUGUGGCAUUCCAUCCUGUGAAGAGCCCGGGAAGUACAGGCAGUACUUAAAUUUCCACACACCACUUCCAGUCAUCCCCAGAGGCUGAUUCUGCUGUGAUCCACACCAGGACAUCCGUGUCUCGAGCCUUGUCCUUCUGUUUGCUCGUGUUUGCUUCUGCAUCUUUUACUCCUGACCUAUUCAACGAGUAACUGAGCCCUGCAAUUAUUUUUCCAUUCAUUUUCUCCUUUCCUGACUCGUUUAGGAAACAAAUACUUCUUGACCUCCUGUGCAUUGAGAUGCACCAUCUAGCCCAGUGUGGUGGAAAGUGGGAAUUUGCUGCCUUUGGAAAUUCUGCAAGCUGGUAGCAGUGAACAGUUGUCCCCUGGAUAUGUUGCUCCAGUUCCACUCCAGAGCUUGCUCAUGCAAGAAAGUAAUUUCUGGUCUGCAUUUGUGCAAGAAGAACAAAACAGCCUGCUCACUUUCUGUUUCCAGGCAGACUUCUCAAAGAUUAUAGGAAGAGGAUGGGCCUAGGGGCUUUCUGGCCAGGAAUGCAGCACACCAUGGGACAAACAAGCACAUUGCCACAGUCAGGUGGCUGCUGUGUCCAAAGCAGCCCAAAACUGCUGAGUGCCUCAGCCUACCUGCUUACUGAUGGCCCUCCUGCACCAAACUGCCUCAUACCUGGGUCUAACCACACAGAGCAAAUCCAAGAGGCUGCUCUCCCAAAGGGUCUUGCUGCUGUGUUGCUUUUUCUCUGUAUUUUUUAUGAAUUUUUGAGAAAACUACAGUAGUGAGAGAUUUGUGCAAACAGGAGUGUGCUGUAUGCUCCGAGUGCCUGGGAUGGAACAGCACACUCAAAGCCUCCAUGCUGAGCUGCCAGAGUGUCCUCAAAAGCAUAUCUCAUCCCCACUGGCUAUUUGGGAUUUCAAGGUUGCUCUUUUCAUCACAGGCAAACCAGCCUGCCUUUUUUCCCAGCAUUUCUGGUGCAGAACAACAUGCUCUGUUGUCCUUCUGCAGCUGAAGGGGAAGGAGUUGGGGGAGAUGGAGAGAUGGGGCUUCUGUAAUGCUCUUUUACCAUUCCCUUUUGUGUCAUGAUUUUGUUUAGUUGGAAAGGCAGGGCAGGGACGCUGGCCUUAUGUGCGGAAAAGCAGUUUUGCUAUGAGGUAACAAAAGCUGCUACCCAAAAGGAGGAUUGGAACAAGGGUGAAAGAUUGGAGUGUAUUUCCAAAAAAUGAAAGGGGACAUGUGCCAAGAGCUACAACAGAGUCCUUGCUGUCAGAGAGGUGGUCUGUCUGGAAAAGAAGUUCACUUGUGCAAAAGGAAGGGUCCCCAAAUAUUUCCCUAAAAUGACAGCACAAACCAGAAGAACCAGCCAAUGAGUUCAUCAAUCUCAACAUUUAUUUUAAAUCUUUGCAGAGAUAAGUGGUUGCACAGGGUGCAAAGCAGUGACGACUCCAGCCUGCAGUGUUUCCAGAUGGGAGGAGCAGCACUGGUGCUGGAGAGCCCUCCUGAGAGCUCCUGCCUGCUUUGCAGACCUGGGACUUCAUAGAUGUCAGCUGAGCUCCAGAUAAGCACGUGGACUUAGUGAUGCACUUCUGAAUCCAGCACAAGUUCUGAGCUAUUUAAGGCUUUUGUUCACUUGUCAUUUCUCAUUUCCUCCUUUUAAAUAAAUCUUCAUUCCUUUGUUAAGAGACUGUUUAAAUCUCUUGGCAACUAAACCAUGUACAAAAAGGAGUGAGCACACCUUGGCCAGGUUUACAUGCUGCAGGAGGUGUGGCAGUUUAGAGAUGACAAGUCAAUAGUAAAUAAAUCCUGGCUGCAUGUUUUUUUCACCUUUUUUCUCUAUAGUGAAUCCUUUGGAAAUCCGGCACAGCUGGCACUCGAGUAAGGGGCUAUUUGGCUCCCUGUUUAGCUGCUCCACCAUGAAAUGUAGUGAUAGUCAGACGAGUAAUUGCAUAAAAAUGGCACCUAGGUGCUGUAAGUAGGUGUUUUCUGUGGGCCUCCUGAGGCAUGUGUGCCGAGUUUAAGGAUCGAUUGGGUUUUUUCUCCCUCUCUCAUUCCUGUAGCUGGGAUUUGCUAAUCAUCUUGUGCUCGGAUGUCCUGCCUCUCCCACUGCAGUGCCAGCUAAUGUCUGAUUCCAGAAGCUUUGCAGUUGGCAAUGUUUUAAUAAGCAGAAAGAGCACAGCUUGAUUCUCAGGUAACAGGCUGAGCUAGCUGUGCUGGCAGUCAGAGCAAAAAACAUGGUAUUGACUUGAAGACUGAGUGAAUUUGGAAUAGAAAUUGUGGAGGAGGAAUAAAUGUGGCAUACAAGGAUGUCACUUUUACACUUUCCAGAUGAUAACUGCACUCUAAAGUGGAGAAUCUCUGACAGUGAUGUCCUCUUUCAAGCAUCCAACAUCUAUGCCCGUACUUGGUCCUCCUGCAAACCCCCUGUUUUCCCAGCUUUGUCUGACUCACACUGUGUAUUCUUCACAAAAUACACUGUCACAGGCUCUGUUUAUGAGAGUUACUCAAGCUUGUUUCCAAGUUAGAAUUCAUGUUUUAUGAGGAGGUGGAUAGAUGAGGAGGGGAGAAGUUUCCACUUGGGCAAGGGCAUUGGAAAGCACUUCUGGAGAUAAAAGUUGCAGGCAAGUAGCAAACCUCUGACUGUGUUGCAUAAAAAAGUUCCUGGAAACUCCUUUCUUGCCUCUCACUGCAACAUCUUUCAGGUCAUCCAUGAAAUCAUCAUCCGAGAGAAGUUUAUUUGAUCAUCUGCUACACCAUUGACCAGGAUAUUUAUUCCCAGGAAAUUAGUAAUCACCUGGAAUGUCAAUUGCCUGAGAUAUUUGGGAUGUCACCAUGUGGUAUCAUAGAGGGAACAGAUGCCUUCUGGAGGGCAAGGCCACAUCUGGGUGUGUGUCCUGGUUCAGAAAGGAAGGGGAACAAAGACUAGAAGUAGAUAGUGUCCUUCUGGUGGCAGGAUCAGUGCUUGAUGGAAGACCCUGUGGCAACUGAAAUAUCUAAUUUAUUUUCAGGAAAGGGUGAAAAAGGGAUUAAAAGCAAGAAAUCAGGCUUUUUGCUUUUCUGGGAGAGAGAGGCAGUUUGAUAAUAAGCUGCUUUCCUGUCGGCAGCUUGGGGUGAUGUACUUCCAAGAGCCCUGUCCCUCGGGACAACACCCUUGGCAAGUGUGGCUGACCCUCUGAAAAUCCUGUUAAGAGUGUGAAAGCGAAUGUCUGUGAGUGAAGGAUACUAAAGCCUCCUUCAGAGGGCAGGGAGCUGGCCCUGCAGGGAGAGAUGUUUCACAAACUGUCUUGCACUAGGAUUCUUCCACCCUCAGGAGAAAGAUGCUCCACUGUGUCCACCUCACCUGCUCCCAGAGGCAACUUCUCUCUUCCAGAACUCCAAAGAUGUGUCAAAACACGUGUGUCUAAAAGACAUCAAAUCAUUACUUUAUCAGCCACAUUUGGCACCAAGGAUCAAAAUCGGGCCUAUGUAAAAAUCUUAAGCAAUAUCAGGGAAAAGUCCAAAGCAUAGUGAGAGCAGUCAUUUGUCUGCUUCUAAAAAGUGUGUUUGCAGCAUGAAUGUAAUAUUCUUGGAGAACCCAAAUAUGAAAGCAACUAUAAAGAAAGCUCCAAAUAUCACACUCCACUCUUCAGAGCUUGUAUAAUAUAAACUGAAUAAAAGUUCCUCAUGGAAAAAAGGUAAAUGAGUUAUUUUU
Molecule: long non-coding RNA, 8487 nt
Organism: Corvus hawaiiensis (hawaiian crow)
Lineage: Eukaryota; Metazoa; Chordata; Aves; Passeriformes; Corvidae
Exons: 6
Source: RefSeq, a predicted model, not a curated record